GGAGUCGGCCAGGCAGUCGCGUCAUCGCAUUCUUCGGAAUGUUGAUGCCGAGGAAAGUCCGGGCUCCACAGGGCACGGUGCCAGGUAACCCCUGGGCGGCGCGAGCCGACGGAAAGUGCAACAGAAAGAUACCGCCGAUGGCCCGGAAGGGAUCAGGCAAGGGUGAAAUGGUGCGGUAAGAGCGCACCGCGAGUCCGGCAACGGACCGGCACGGCAAACCCCACCGGGAGCAAGACCAAAUAGGGAGGCAAUGCCGCGGCCCGCGGUGUCUCCGGGUAGGUUGCUUGAGCGUAUCGGUGACGAUGCGCCUAGAGGAAUGACUGUCCACGACAAAACCCGGCUUAUCGGCCGGCUCCGUCA
RNAcentral lists this RNase P RNA (360 nucleotides) under Lysobacterales bacterium. Its description in RNAcentral is "RNase P RNA component class A". It matches the Rfam family "Bacterial RNase P class A". Rfam says of the family: Ribonuclease P (RNase P) is a ubiquitous endoribonuclease, found in archaea, bacteria and eukarya as well as chloroplasts and mitochondria. Its best characterised activity is the generation of mature 5'-ends of tRNAs by cleaving the 5'-leader elements of precursor-tRNAs. The record is from RNAcentral. Lineage: Bacteria; Pseudomonadati; Pseudomonadota; Gammaproteobacteria; Lysobacterales.